UACGGAGGGUGCGAGCGUUGUCCGGAAUUACUGGGCGUAAAGCGCACGUAGGCGGCUUUGCAAGUUAGAGGUGAAAGCCCGGGGCUCAACUCCGGAAUUGCCUUUAAAACUGCAUCGCUAGAAUUGUGGAGAGGUAAGUGGAAUUCCGAGUGUAGAGGUGAGAUUCGUAGAUAUUCGGAAGAACACCAGUGGCGAAGGCGACUUACUGGACACAUAUUGACGCUGAGGUGCGAAAGCGUGGGGAGCAAACAGG
RNAcentral lists this ribosomal RNA (253 nucleotides) under uncultured bacterium. RNAcentral describes it as "partial 16S ribosomal RNA". It matches the Rfam family "Bacterial small subunit ribosomal RNA", at positions 524 to 776 of the family's 1533-position model. The record is from RNAcentral.